CAGUCGCCACGGUAAUACAGAGGGUGCGAGCGUUAAUCGGAUUUACUGGGCGUAAAGCGUGCGUAGGCGGCUUUUUAAGUCGGAUGUGAAAUCCCUGAGCUUAACUUAGGAAUUGCAUUCGAUACUGGGAAGCUAGAGUAUGGGAGAGGAUGGUAGAAUUCCAGGUGUAGCGGUGAAAUGCGUAGAGAUCUGAGGAAUACCGAUGGCGAAGGCAGCCAUCUGGCCUAAUACUGACGCUGAGGUACGAAAGCAUGGGGAGCAAACAGGAUUAGAUACCCGCGUAGUCCCUGUCUCUUAUACA
RNAcentral lists this ribosomal RNA (301 nucleotides) under uncultured bacterium. RNAcentral's name for it is "partial 16S ribosomal RNA". It matches the Rfam family "Bacterial small subunit ribosomal RNA", at positions 509 to 808 of the family's 1533-position model. The record is from RNAcentral.